CGAGAAUUGUAGAAUUCACUUUGUGGAACUGUCCAACUGAGGACUUUGCUGUCAAACUCUUUUCGAAUGUUUAAUCACCUUGAUUGGAUUGUCUCUUGUCUCCUUUUUUUUAUGUUAUCAUCGUUUCUUUUCCAGGAUUUUGUUUCAAAAUGGUUCCGUACCACAAAAUAUUCUAAAACUAAAUCUGGGACAAGAUCUAGUUUAUGUUCCUCACUGCAACAAAAAGCAACGAUUCUGCUGAUUCACCUCUUCCCGAUAAAUUAGUUCAACUGCAUGAAAAAACUUAGACAUAUUUGGUGUGCAGUAUUUCAGUCCUCCUCUUGAUUUUGUUUCAGUGAGACAGUGCUCGUAGAAUUCUGCAGGGAGUAGUUCCUCUUUUGUUUGUACGGUAGAUAAGCAUUGUUCACAUUUCAACAAUCUUCUACGAGUGUGCAGAAGGUAUCUACAUAUUUGAUACACUGUAUCUUUGGUUA
Long non-coding RNA from Daphnia magna, 473 nucleotides. RefSeq lists it as uncharacterized. The record is from RefSeq and is a predicted model, not a curated record. Lineage: Eukaryota; Metazoa; Arthropoda; Branchiopoda; Diplostraca; Daphniidae. The transcript is spliced from 3 exons.